UGCUGCUCCCCUGUGCCGGCUCUGCCUAACAUCUCUUCCUGUCUGUUGCAGGUUCUGGGAGAGAUCUUGCAGGCCUCUUCCUCCAACAACCCGAUCCCAGAGAUGUAUGUGGAGGCCAUCUCCCAUACGCUGAGUUACCAGCCCGUUCUUAUCUAUCAGAGCUGUUGGGGAUUUUCCAUCGAAAACUGGAGAUGGGCAGGGGAGAUACCCCUGUGGGGAUCCUGGCCCUGAUGUCAUAUGUUAUUGGUGCUGAAGGUAGGAGCAGGAGAGCAAGAGCUCAGAGACUUUCCCUUAUAUCAUGUCAGAGCGAGCGCCUGGUGCAGCACAGAGCCGCUAUGCAGCUUCAGGGCCUGUGGGUCUGGCUGCAGGGCCCUGGGUGUGACCUGCUCCCUGUAGCAAUGGACAGUCUUUCCCGUGCUCCCAUGCUGCGCUGGACAGACACACCCCAAAGCUCUGCACACUCGGACACUGAAGUUCCGAGGAUGGCCAGGCUGAAACACCUGUGCAUCAAAUCAGUGAAAUCAGUUCUUACCGAUGGGAGUCCCAGGGAGCUCUGGGAACGGCUGCUGGGCUGUGUUACCCGCACCCCUUACACUGCACCCCUUACCCGCACCCCUUACACUGAUUCCAUGACUUCCCUGUGCCGCUGCCUGAGGGUCCUGGCCACGAAGCGGCAGCAGCACAGACAAGCAGCCCAA
This 698-nucleotide long non-coding RNA is filed under the name Gopherus agassizii (Agassiz's desert tortoise). RNAcentral's name for it is "lncRNA (ENSGAGG00000002729.1)". Lineage: Eukaryota; Metazoa; Chordata; Testudines; Testudinidae. The record is from RNAcentral.